Camelus dromedarius (Arabian camel) is the source of this 373-nucleotide long non-coding RNA. RefSeq lists it as uncharacterized. The transcript is spliced from 4 exons. NCBI's taxonomy places the organism in Eukaryota, Metazoa, Chordata, Mammalia, Artiodactyla, Camelidae. The record is from RefSeq and is a predicted model, not a curated record.
AAAGCUAUUCUCAUCUUCCAAACUCUGAGACAAGACAUCCAGGGAAAAAAAUCACUGUCAGGACUGAGACAAGUUGUGGCAGAAGCUCCCACAUCACUGAAUCCUGAGCUGGAGGGACCCGGGAGACACCAGCAGUCAUUUUGCAGGAGAUACUGAUCAGCCAGACAAUGAACAUCUCUGAACUGUACUGAUCACUGUGGGGGAAGCCAGGUACCAGGUUGUGAGGAGAUGCAAGUAGCUCCUGGAGAAGCUCAUAUGAAGAGGAACUGAGGCCUCCUGCCAACGGUCAGCAGCAUAAAUGAUCACCAGAUUCCCAUCAUUCUUUGUGUGUAACACCCAUUAAACCAAAGCAAUUCUCCAAGACAAAGAAAAC